GAAAGAGGUUGCGAUUUUUAAGAGUAAUUAUUUAGCUAUUCAGAUUGUUGCUAAAUAAAGAAAGGGAAAACCGCCGAAGUUUAGAAAAGGAUAUCUGAUACUUUUCUUUGCUGGGGGAUUAUAGAAUAUAUAAUUCACUGUCGUAUUAAAAGAUACGGAGCGCUUG
RNAcentral lists this non-coding RNA (166 nucleotides) under chicken gut metagenome. RNAcentral's name for it is "Lysine riboswitch". It matches the Rfam family "Lysine riboswitch aptamer". From Rfam's summary of the family: Riboswitches are metabolite binding domains within certain messenger RNAs that serve as precision sensors for their corresponding targets. Allosteric rearrangement of mRNA structure is mediated by ligand binding, and this results in modulation of gene expression. This family includes riboswitches that sense lysine in a number of genes involved in lysine metabolism, including lysC. The record is from RNAcentral.